This 253-nucleotide ribosomal RNA is filed under the name uncultured bacterium. RNAcentral describes it as "partial 16S ribosomal RNA". It matches the Rfam family "Bacterial small subunit ribosomal RNA", at positions 524 to 776 of the family's 1533-position model. The record is from RNAcentral.
UACGAAGGGGACUAGCGUUAAUCGGAAUUACUGGGCGUAAAGCGCGCGUAGGCGGCUUUGUAAGUCGGUUGUGAAAUCCCCGGGCUUAACCUGGGAACUGCAUCCGAGACUGCAUGGCUAGAGUAUGGGAGAGGGAAGUGGAAUUUCAGGUGUAGCGGUGAAAUGCGUAGAUAUCUGAAGGAACAUCAGUGGCGAAAGCGACUUCCUGGACCAAUACUGACGCUCAUGUGCGAAAGCGUGGGGAGCAAACAGG